RNAcentral lists this ribosomal RNA (480 nucleotides) under Pettalus sp. 259s. RNAcentral describes it as "partial 16S ribosomal RNA". The record is from RNAcentral. Lineage: Eukaryota; Metazoa; Arthropoda; Arachnida; Opiliones; Pettalidae.
UUCUUUUAGAGAAAAUUAAAAGUAUAUUCUGCUCAAUGAUUUUUAUUAAAUAGCUGCAUUUUGUACUAAGGUAGCAUAAUCAAUUGUUCAUUAAUUGUGAACUGGAAUGAAAGGAUUUAUAAUUAUAGAUUUUAUUUAUAUUGUAAAUUGAAUUUUAAAUUUGAAUUAUAAUGUUCGAAUGUAAUUUAGGGACAAGAAGACCCUAUAAAGCUUUAUAUUUUUAGAAAUUUUAUUUUUAGAAAAAUAUUAUAUUGGGGCAAUGUAUUAUGAUAUAGAAUUAUAAUUUGGAAUGAUGUUAUUAAGAAUAUUAGUUGAUCCAUUAGUAAUGAAAAAUUGAAUAAGUUACUUUAGGGAUAACAGGAUGAUUUUUAUUUGGUAGUUCUUAUAUAAAAUAAAGAUUAUUACCUCGAUGUUGAAUUAAUAUUAUAUAAUGGUGAAGAAGCUAUUAUUAUUUGACUGUUCGUCAAUUAAAUUAUUACA